Molecule: ribosomal RNA, 422 nt
Filed under: marine gamma proteobacterium JSL61
Lineage: Bacteria; Pseudomonadati; Pseudomonadota; Gammaproteobacteria
Description: bacterial SSU rRNA
Rfam family: Bacterial small subunit ribosomal RNA
Source: RNAcentral
GCCUAACACAUGCAAGUCGAGCGGAAACGACAACAUUGANUCUUCGGAGGAUUUGUUGGGCGUCGAGCGGCGGACGGGUGAGUAAUGCCUAGGAAAUUGCCUUGAUGUGGGGGAUAACCAUUGGAAACGAUGGCUAAUACCGCAUAAUGCCUACGGGCCAAAGAGGGGGAUCUUCGGACCUCUCGCGUCAAGAUAUGCCUAGGUGGGAUUAGCUAGUUGGUGAGGUAAUGGCUCACCAAGGCGACGAUCCCUAGCUGGUCUGAGAGGAUGAUCAGCCACACUGGAACUGAGACACGGUCCAGACUCCUACGGGAGGCAGCAGUGGGGAAUAUUGCACAAUGGGCGAAAGCCUGAUGCACCCAUGCCNCGUGUAUGAANAAGGCCUUCGGGUUGUAAAGUACUUUCAGUUGUGAGGAAGGGGG